Long non-coding RNA from Neopelma chrysocephalum (saffron-crested tyrant-manakin), 398 nucleotides. RefSeq lists it as uncharacterized. The transcript has 3 exons. NCBI's taxonomy places the organism in Eukaryota, Metazoa, Chordata, Aves, Passeriformes, Pipridae. The record is from RefSeq and is a predicted model, not a curated record.
UUAAUGCCAGCCUUCAUAAAAUCAGUGAUUACACAUGAGACCUGAUGCCACCUUAGAAGCUGCAUGAUGUCUGCCAUCUCAGACAAGGGCUUAUCAGCUUGUCACAGGGCUUUUUCCAGAAAGGCAUUGUACAGAGGGUUCAUGGCUUUAUGCUGCACGGACUGAGGAGGGGGCCUCAUUGUGUUGGAAAUUGCUCUUGAGAUGCCACUGUAAGGUGGUAGAAUAUUGCUGACCUCUGUAAUUUACUUUCAUGUACCCAACACAUAAUCCCUGGAUUGUUGUAUUGAGUCAUUGCAAUGGCAAUUUCGAUUGCUCAUCAACACUUCUGUCUCUCCUGAGCAGUGCUUAUUGUCUAUGAAAACCAUCAAUGUAUUUUUUGAAGAUAUCUUCCUCUCAAG